Molecule: long non-coding RNA, 3249 nt
Organism: Bombyx mori (domestic silkworm)
Lineage: Eukaryota; Metazoa; Arthropoda; Insecta; Lepidoptera; Bombycidae
Exons: 2
Source: RefSeq, a predicted model, not a curated record
UUAUAUAGCACGUGCAAUAGGAGUGACUCGCACAAGCCAGGUGCGCCGGCCGUGUCGUUCCACUCGUAAACAACAGCUGCAACAGAAGUGACUCAUAAGCCAGCUGCGCCGGCUAGUAUAAAAAGGCGGAACGUGCCUUGAAAUGAACAUUCGUUGGACUGCGCUUGCCUGGUGCACUUACUAUAUCCUUGUUACGUUGUGUGAUUCAGUGACUGUUGUACGUACUGGUUAAAGUUGGACAAGUGUUAAAGUGAAUUGUUAAGAUAACAUAUUGUUGAUUAAAUCAGGAAUCAAAAAGUGACAUCGUUUUACUUGGUGUUCAACAAGAUAAUGUCUACCCUCAAGCUUACAUCAGAAGUGAGAUCAGGACCUUACUCUCACUGGCGUGACGUGUUUGAACAUGUUCGAAGUACAGCAAAAAAAACAUGAUGCAGAUCAGAAUACUAGUAGUGGUACGCCACAAGAGCGUGAAUGCAGCAUACGUAAGUCGUGUAAUAACGUCUCUGUUACCUCGAUGGAAGAUCUGAGCCACGAAGAAAUCGUCACAUCUUACGUUCUGGCUCAUGUUGCCCAGUUUGACUGUCGGCAUUUACUAACGGAAAUACAACACGUAACAAGCUAUUGCAAGAAAUUAAGGCAAGUGCAAAUCUUAAGUGAAACUUCGAUCGCAAUAAUGGAUCUGUCAUGACGAGUGGGUAGUUCCGACACGAAUCGUUUUUAAGCCAAUGACUACUGCUAGAGUUACAUGGCUCUAGUACAGUAAACCAGGACAUGAGACUGUGAAUUGUCGCUGAAAUUUUAGAAUCUACUCGAUUCAAUACCAAUAACACUACACGUUCGAUGACUUCGGGCUCCAGCAAGCAAGCAAACAAGAAAGCAAGCAAGUUUCCGUGGGGAAGAAAAAUUGACACAUCUGAAGUCGUCGUGACCUGUAAGAUAAGACGUCCGGUGCGUUCGUGUCUGGCGAUGCGGCGAUGUUCGGGUUCCGGCUGGCGGAUGCAGGUUUUUCCGGUGAAGUGCGUGCUUGUGCGUGCUUGACAAGUGUUCGCGGUUGGCUUCCUCAGUGUGGGAGUAACAUCGUGUAAGAGAGGUGGAACCCGUAAAAUUGUAGUUUGCGUGGUGGCUGGUAAGAUUUGUUGCGGUAAGAAGUUUGCAUGGUGGUAAAAUGUCUUGUGAGUCUGCACAGGUAGCCGGACGUGAGACUUCCGCGGUCGCGGCCCACCCAGUCCGCGAGAACCGGGCAGAUCGCCUCGACGGUACGGAGGCCGGCUGACGGGUCCGCCAAACGACGAGACCACGCCUCCAGCACGGACUGCCGAUAUUGGAGCCCCCGCGCUCCGGCUGCACUUGCGCUAGGGCGCGCCGCCUCGUAGGAGACUGUGAGCCUGCAAAACCUGAACAACCUCCUCAUCCGUGGGCGCCCGGCUCUCGCCUGCAAGUCGGCUGUUACGUGUGCGGUGAUGCGAGCCAUGUAGCUUCUGGGUGUUCCAUGCGCUACAAGAAGAAAAACGACACUGCUCCAGGUGCUGUGGCAGGUCCAACCAGAGACGUCAACGUGUGUUCCGGAGCUUCAGUGUGUUACAGAUAAGUGGUUUUGGCUUCCCCUUUAUGUUCCAUUCAGGGUCAGAAUGUAGUCUUAUAAAACAAAGUCAUAGUAAUUUAUUCAAUGGUAAGCGGUUUCAUGAACAAGUCACUCUUUGAUCUGAAAGUAACUUAGACCAAUCAUGAUGGCAAGAGCACUUAGGGGAUAUUCAACUCGCCCUUAAUAGUGCACGUUGUCGAGUAACAGGGUUUACUCCAAUAGAAUAGACGUUUGCCGUUCAGGGUAGUUCACUUGAAAUAUCUUAAAGUUUCAACAGAGUGAUAAUCCCUCUAGAUUAGAUCUUGAUUUAGCACGGUCGAAGACCGACGAAAACAUAAAAAAAGGGCACAAACAGAAGCUUGGUUUAGUCGAGGCAAAACUAAAGUCAAACUCUUUUCCGCUGGGGAUUUUGUUUUCGUAAGUUGACCGAAAAUGUAAAGGUCCCUUCAACAUUACUGCAGUUUUGGAAAACGAUAGGUAUAAAUUGAGACAUGUAAAUAGUUCUAAUAGAGUGUACAAAUUUCCACAUGAAAACUUACGUGAAAUACCUCGAGGCCCGUCAGGCCUACUAGAAAUUUCUAAAAAUUAUAGUGACGAUGACGUGACGGCGUACACAGAUGGGUUAAUUAAUCUUGUUCAUGAAACUGAUCUUAAUGAUGACGACUCUAUCACUGACAAUAGAAGCGACAUUUUUGUCCGCAAAUAGCGAUACAGCAAACAUAGUCUGUGGGUAGUGAUACAAUGUCUGUAAGCUCAGGCACCUCAGGUGCAGGUGUUGGAAAUGUAGAAAACGAUGGUCGGUCUCGCACUAUUUCUGAAGAAAUUCCGUAUAAAUGUUCUGGUUUAAGAAAUGUUUUAACAAACGCUACCGUACACGCAGAUUAAAAAAAAAAAAAAAAAAGAGAAUUGUAUGUGGCUAGAGAGAUGUUAAUCCGGACUAGCAAAAAAAAAAAAGAGAAAAAAAAGAAAGUGUGAAGUCAUUGAAGAGUCUGUCCGGUCCAAUGGCUUGGCUAUAGGGAUUUUCAUCCAGAUUAGCCGCAACAAUUAGCUACAGGGAUUGCGAUUCGGUCUAGCAUUAUCCGGUCCAGUUCGAAAGUUAAAAGGGACAUACUUACAUACCUGAAGAGUUUUUGAACUGGCCCAGGUAUGUAAGCAGUCUGAAGUUUAUUUAUAGCCAGUAUAGGAUUUUCUGAAGAAUUAUGCGAACCGAACCGUACUAGAUUGUUAAUAUCAUAGACCACGUUUUAAGUUGCAUCCGUUAAUGUCAGGAUGAACGAACACGUUUGUUGUUCACAGACAUACCAUAAGAAUGCGCGCACGAGGACGAGCGCACGUCAGUAUGGCCGUGACGGCGUUAACGAUAUUUAUGUUAUAUAGCACGUGCAAUAGGAGUGACUCACACAAGCCAGGUGCGCCGGCCGUGUCGUUCCACUCGUAAACAACAGCUGCAACAGAAGUGACUCAUAAGCCAGCUGCGCCGGCUAGUAUAAAAAGGCGGAACGUGCUUUGAAAUGAACAUUCGUUGGACUGCGCUUGCCUGGUGCACUUACUAUAUCCUUGUUACGUUGUGUGAUUCAGUGACUGUUGUACGUACUGGUUAAAGUUGGACAAGUGUUAAAGUGAAUUGUUAAGAUAACAUAUUGUUGAUUAAAUCAGGAAUCAAAAAG